UACGUAGGGGGCAAGCGUUGUCCGGAUUUAUUGGGCGUAAAGAGCGUGUAGGCGGUCUGGUAGGUCCGUUGUGAAAACUCGAGGCUCAACCUCGAGACGCCGAUGGAAACCCUCAGACUAGAGUCCGGAAGAGGCGAGUGGAACUCCUGGUGUAGCGGUGGAAUGCGCAGAUAUCAGGAGGAACACCAAUUGCGAAGGCAGCUCGCUGGGACGUUACUGACGCUGAGACGCGAAAGCGUGGGGAGCAAACAGG
This 253-nucleotide ribosomal RNA is filed under the name uncultured bacterium. Its description in RNAcentral is "partial 16S ribosomal RNA". It matches the Rfam family "Bacterial small subunit ribosomal RNA", at positions 524 to 776 of the family's 1533-position model. The record is from RNAcentral.